Molecule: ribosomal RNA, 468 nt
Filed under: uncultured bacterium
Lineage: Bacteria
Description: partial 16S ribosomal RNA
Rfam family: Bacterial small subunit ribosomal RNA
Source: RNAcentral
GACGAACGCUGGCGGCGUGCUUAACACAUGCAAGUCGAACGGAAAGGCCCUGCUUUUGUGGGGUGCUCGAGUGGCGAACGGGUGAGUAACACGUGAGUAACCUGCCCUUGACUUUGGGAUAACUUCAGGAAACUGGGGCUAAUACCGUAUAGGAGCUCCUGCUGCAUGGUGGGGAUUGGAAAGUUUCGGCGGUUGGGGAUGGACUCGCGGCUGAUCAGCUUGUUGGUGGGGUAGUGGCUUACCAAGGCUUUGACGGGUAGCCGGCCUGAGAGGGUGACCGGCCACAUUGGGACUGAGAUACGGACCAGACUCCUACGGGAGGCAGCAGUGGGGAAUAUUGCACAAUGGGAGGAAGCCUGAUGAAGAAACGCCGCGUGCGGGAUGACGGCCUUCGGGUUGUAAACCGCUUUAGCCUGUGACGAAGCGUGAGUGACGGUAAUGGGUAAAGAAGCACCGGCUAACUACGUG